Molecule: transfer RNA, 71 nt
Filed under: Callopanchax sidibeorum
Lineage: Eukaryota; Metazoa; Chordata; Actinopteri; Cyprinodontiformes; Nothobranchiidae
Description: tRNA-Leu
Rfam family: tRNA
About the family: Transfer RNA (tRNA) molecules are approximately 80 nucleotides in length. Their secondary structure includes four short double-helical elements and three loops (D, anti-codon, and T loops). Further hydrogen bonds mediate the characteristic L-shaped molecular structure. tRNAs have two regions of fundamental functional importance: the anti-codon, which is responsible for specific mRNA codon recognition, and the 3' end, to which the tRNAs corresponding amino acid is attached (by aminoacyl-tRNA synthetases). tRNAs cope with the degeneracy of the genetic code in two manners: having more than one tRNA (with a specific anti-codon) for a particular amino acid; and 'wobble' base-pairing, i.e. permitting non-standard base-pairing at the 3rd anti-codon position.
Source: RNAcentral
GUUAGUAUGGCAGAAAGGAAGUGCUAAAGGCCUAAGCCCUUUAUAUAAAGGUUCAAUCCCUUUUACUAACC